UCUCCGUAGGUGAACCUGCGGAGGGAUCAUUACUGAGUGAGGGUCUCCGGGCCCGACCUCCAACCCUUUGUGAAUUCGACCCAGUUGCCUCGGGGGCGACCCUGCCGUUCGCGGCGUGGGGCCCCCGGUGGACCACCCAACCCUGCAUCGUUGCGUCUGAGUCGAAAUAUAAAUCAAUCAAAACUUUCAACAACGGAUCUCUUGGUUCUGGCAUCGAUGAAGAACGCAGC
RNAcentral lists this unclassified non-coding RNA (230 nucleotides) under uncultured fungus. RNAcentral describes it as "sequence contains ITS1, 5.8S rRNA gene". The stretch from base 182 to 230 matches the Rfam family "5.8S ribosomal RNA", at positions 1 to 49 of the family's 154-position model. The record is from RNAcentral. Lineage: Eukaryota; Fungi.